GACGAACGCUGGCGGCGUGCUUAACACAUGCAAGUCGAACGGUAAGGCCCUUCGGGGUACACGAGUGGCGAACGGGUGAGUAACACGUGGGUGAUCUGCCCUGCACUUCGGGAUAAGCCUGGGAAACUGGGUCUAAUACCGGAUAGGACCACUGCCUGCAUGGGUGGUGGAAAGCUUUUGCGGUGUGGGAUGGGUCCGCGGCCUGUCAGCUUGUUGGUGGGGUGAUGGCCUACCACGGCGACGACGGGUGGCCGGCCUGAGAGGGUGACCGGCCACACUGGGACUGAGAUACGGCCCAGACUCCUGCGGGAGGCAGCAGUGGGGAAUAUGGCACAAUGGGGGCAAGCCUGAUGCAGCGACGCCGCGUGAGGGAUGACGGCCUUCGGGUUGUAAACCUCUUUCAGCACCGACGAAGCGCAAGUGACGGUAGGUGCAGAAGAAGGACCGGCCAACUACGUGCCAGCCGCCGCGGUAA
RNAcentral lists this ribosomal RNA (475 nucleotides) under uncultured bacterium. Its description in RNAcentral is "partial 16S ribosomal RNA". It matches the Rfam family "Bacterial small subunit ribosomal RNA", at positions 28 to 523 of the family's 1533-position model. The record is from RNAcentral.